This is a long non-coding RNA of Trematomus bernacchii (emerald rockcod), 390 nucleotides long. RefSeq lists it as uncharacterized. The transcript has 2 exons. The record is from RefSeq and is a predicted model, not a curated record. NCBI's taxonomy places the organism in Eukaryota, Metazoa, Chordata, Actinopteri, Perciformes, Nototheniidae.
UAAAUGGUUAUAAUAAACUUUAACACAGUAACGGUAGAGACAUUUCCAUUGUUCAUAUUAUUAGCUUAAAGAAAGAACAUUUGCACAUUUGAAAGGUUGAAUAGAUUAUAUAUUACAAUGUUUAACCUAUACAUAAAAUGUUGAUCCUGCAUACCUAAAACUUCUAUAAAACAUGCAUAAAGAUUAUCAUUUACAUUUUAAAUGAUAAUCUUCAUGUGAAAAACCUUUAACUUCUUUUCCCUUUAACUUUGACCUGAGCUCAUUUCACAGGACACUUUUUAUAAAGCUUAAGGAAAUGGACUCCCUUCUAUAAGUGGGUUUAAGGAAGCACCACCCAGAUAAAGGCAAGAUAAUUGUAAAUGUUUGGGGAAUAAAACACUUCUUUUGGAA